Molecule: ribosomal RNA, 113 nt
Filed under: Erinaceus europaeus (western European hedgehog)
Lineage: Eukaryota; Metazoa; Chordata; Mammalia; Eulipotyphla; Erinaceidae
Source: RNAcentral
GUCUAUGGCCAUACCACUCUGAACAUGCCCGAUCUCGUCUGAUCUCAGAAGCUAAGCAGAGUCGGGCCUGGUUAGUACUUGGAUGGAAGAGAGAGGCCAAGUGGUGGUGCAUC